Molecule: unclassified non-coding RNA, 300 nt
Filed under: Eurotiales sp.
Lineage: Eukaryota; Fungi; Ascomycota; Eurotiomycetes; Eurotiales
Description: partial contains 5.8S ribosomal RNA, internal transcribed spacer 2, and large subunit ribosomal RNA
Rfam family: 5.8S ribosomal RNA (bases 1-71)
Source: RNAcentral
GUGAGUCAUCGAAUCUUUGAACGCACAUUGCGCCCUCUGGUAUUCCGGAGGGCAUGCCUGUCCGAGCGUCAUCGCUGUGCCUCAAGCCCGGCUUGUGUGUUGGGCCUCCCGUCCGCUGGACGGGGACCCGAAAGGCAGUGGCGGCGUCGCGUCCCGAUCCUUGAAGCGUAUGGGGCUUUGUCACCCGCUUGGAGGUCGGCCGACCCCGUAGCCCAUCGUGGAUCUUCCACACAUUUUUCUGAUGGACCUCGGAUCAGGUAGGGAUACCCGCUGAACUUAAGCAUAUCAAUAAGCGGAGGA